RNAcentral lists this ribosomal RNA (605 nucleotides) under Rhizobium sp. RNAcentral's name for it is "bacterial SSU rRNA". It matches the Rfam family "Bacterial small subunit ribosomal RNA", at positions 115 to 755 of the family's 1533-position model. Lineage: Bacteria; Pseudomonadati; Pseudomonadota; Alphaproteobacteria; Hyphomicrobiales; Rhizobiaceae. The record is from RNAcentral.
GCGUGGGAAUCUACCUUUUGCUACGGAAUAACGCAGGGAAACUUGUGCUAAUACCGUAUGUGUCCUUCGGGAGAAAGAUUUAUCGGCAAGAGAUGAGCCCGCGUUGGAUUAGCUAGUUGGUGGGGUAAAGGCCUACCAAGGCGACGAUCCAUAGCUGGUCUGAGAGGAUGAUCAGCCACAUUGGGACUGAGACACGGCCCAAACUCCUACGGGAGGCAGCAGUGGGGAAUAUUGGACAAUGGGCGCAAGCCUGAUCCAGCCAUGCCGCGUGAGUGAUGAAGGCCCUAGGGUUGUAAAGCUCUUUCACCGGAGAAGAUAAUGACGGUAUCCGGAGAAGAAGCCCCGGCUAACUUCGUGCCAGCAGCCGCGGUAAUACGAAGGGGGCUAGCGUUGUUCGGAAUUACUGGGCGUAAAGCGCACGUAGGCGGAUCGAUCAGUCAGGGGUGAAAUCCCAGGGCUCAACCCUGGAACUGCCUUUGAUACUGUCGAUCUGGAGUAUGGAAGAGGUGAGUGGAAUUCCGAGUGUAGAGGUGAAAUUCGUAGAUAUUCGGAGGAACACCAGUGGCGAAGGCGGCUCACUGGUCCAUUACUGACGCUGAGGUGCG